Molecule: ribosomal RNA, 381 nt
Filed under: Acanthamoeba genotype T4
Lineage: Eukaryota; Discosea; Longamoebia; Acanthamoebidae
Description: SSU rRNA
Rfam family: Eukaryotic small subunit ribosomal RNA
Source: RNAcentral
CCAGAUCGUUUACCGUGAAAAAAUUAGAGUGUUCAAAGCAGGCAGAUCCAAUUUUCUGCCACCGAAUACAUUAGCAUGGGAUAAUGGAAUAGGACCCUGUCCUCCUAUUUUCAGUUGGUUUUGGCAGCGCGAGGACUAGGGUAAUGAUUAAUAGGGAUAGUUGGGGGCAUUAAUAUUUAAUUGUCAGAGGUGAAAUUCUUGGAUUUAUGAAAGAUUAACUUCUGCGAAAGCAUCUGCCAAGGAUGUUUUCAUUAAUCAAGAACGAAAGUUAGGGGAUCGAAGACGAUCAGAUACCGUCGUAGUCUUAACCAUAAACGAUGCCGACCAGCGAUUAGGAGACGUUGAAUACAAAACACCACCAUCGGUGCGGUCGUCCCGGCG